UGUUAUCCGGAAUCACUGGGCGUAAAGCGUCUGUAGGUGGUUUAGUAAGUCUAUUGUUGAAGCUUGAGGCUCAACUUCAAAUCAGCGAUGGAAACUGCUAGACUAGAGUGUGGUAGAGGUAAGAGGAAUUUCCAGUGGAGCGGUGAAAUGCGUAGAUAUUGGAAAGAACACCGAUGGCGAAGGCAUCUUACUGGGCCAUAACUGACACUCAGAGACGAAAGCUAGGGUAGCAAAUGGGAUUAGAUGCCCCAGUAGUCCUAGCAGUAAACGAUGGAUACUAGAUGUUGCCCGUAUCAACCCGUGCAGUGUCAAAGCUAACGCGUUAAGUAUCCCGCCUGGGAAGUAUGCACGCAAGUGUGAAACUCAAAGGAAUUGACGGGGGCCCGCACAAGCGGUGGAGCAUGUGGUUUAAUUUGAUGCAACGCGAAGAACCUUACCAGGGUUUGACAUGACAUGAAUUUUUCUGAGAAGAAAAAGCGCCUUUUAGGAACAUGUACACAGGUGGUGCAUGGCUGUCGUCAGCUCGUGUCGUGAGAUGUUGGGUUAAGUCCCGCAACGAGCGCAACCCUUGUUUUUAGUUAUUUUUCUAGAAAGACUGCCGGUUAUAAGCCGGAGGAAGGCGGGGACGACGUCAAGUCAGCAUGCCCCUUAUACCCUGGGCUACACACGUGCUACAUUGGGUAAGACAAUGAGUCGCGAGCCUGUGAAGGUCAGCAAAUCUAUAAACUUACUCUAAGUUCGGAUUGUAGGCUGCAAC
This 757-nucleotide ribosomal RNA is filed under the name uncultured marine dictyochophyte. Its description in RNAcentral is "bacterial SSU rRNA". It matches the Rfam family "Bacterial small subunit ribosomal RNA", at positions 539 to 1311 of the family's 1533-position model. Lineage: Eukaryota; Dictyochophyceae. The record is from RNAcentral.